Long non-coding RNA from Numida meleagris (helmeted guineafowl), 1739 nucleotides. RefSeq lists it as uncharacterized. The record is from RefSeq and is a predicted model, not a curated record. The transcript has 4 exons. Lineage: Eukaryota; Metazoa; Chordata; Aves; Galliformes; Numididae.
GAUCCAGCCCCCACUGAGAGAUAUGAAAUUGCUUCAACAGAAACAGGACCUGACCUUUACCGAGAGACAAGCCAGGACCUGGAGCAGCCCCAGCCUUGUGACACAGGCACAGACAUGCCAGCAGCCACCUCCUCACCCUGCCCUGGUUCGUACUGCAGUCAGUCCCUGGGAGAAAACAGAAAUUCAUCACAAUGAGCAGAGCAGAGGCUUGGCUCAGUAGCGUCAUUUAAUGCCUGAUAAUCCCUCAUCCCAAUUUGCUUCAAUUUAUUAGAUGUCCCUGGAAACAGGUGUGAUGGAAAUGCCAUGGAAACGUGAGACGAGUGGAGCCUUCAGCUCACAGCCUCUCCAGCAGUAGUUUCGUCAGGGAGAGCAGAGCUGACAUCACGUGGGCACCUCCCUCUCCUCUCCCCAUCUUCAUGUCAAGAGCCCAAACGCAGCCCCACGCUGCAGCCUAGAGCGGCACUUUUCAUCAGGACUGGAGUGGGAAUCCCGUCCACAACUGUCAGCACCAGCAGUCCUCCCAAAGUAAUCCCAGUGUGGGCAGAAAGGGGCCCUGAGCUAAGCUGCUUGCAUCUGGAGACACUCGGUGGGGUGCUGCUUCCCUCUCCCCAGCCCUUACGCUUCAGCAUUGCCACUUGGCUCAGAUAAUUUACUUUUAAUAGUCUGGUUACAAAUGAGAUUGCAAAGGAAGCACGUGACUCAGAACUGGGAUUUCUGAGUCACAUUCUCAUUUCCCCCUUGUGCCUCCUAGGCCUCUAAUAAACUACAAAGAGACAUUAAGAAAACAAUAAGAACUCUUUAUCUACUGAGACUGGGGAACAGGAACAGUGAGCCGGCAAUAAUGGAUUCUGCGUAUUUGCAGUGCGUCCCUGCGGCAGCAGCAGAACAAGGGGAACGGGAAGUUCAGGUGCUCAGGACAUGGAGUGCUCAGAGCAGCUGGCCAGCACUGGGUGGAAAGCAGGUGAGCGGUGCCUGAGGUUGGCUGAGCACGCCUUCCUGGGCAGUCUCCUGGAAGACAUUUGGCCAUGUCCAUGCUGCAUUCCAUUGCGAACUCAAGGGAAUUAGCCAGCUGUCAUGUGUGCUGUGAGACAUCUUCUGCAUCGCCCCCCAACGUGAGCUGUAUCACUUGGGCCAGGAUAAACCACAGGUGCUGGCAGCAGCGUGUAAAUGGGAAAAGAAAAGGGGCCACAUCCUACCCCGGCCUGCAGCACCUCUGAUUGCGACAGCAGUUCUGCAGACAACUGCAGGUUUCUGCAGAGACCCAUGAAAUGUGUUCUCCCUGCUUGACCCAUCCCACUGCGUUUCUGACUGUGCCUGGACGUGGUGGAGAUCGGUAGCAAUGAGCUCAGAUCCCACUCAAGAAAUUUGGAAUUGGAUUUGAGGGAAGGAAAAGAAAAUCAAAAUGCAAUCAACAGGGACAGGAAAGAAAAGAGUUGCUGGAGAGCAUGAGCCUCCAGAAGCUGGAAUAGGAAAGAACAGAACCAUUCAAGCAUCCCCUGGUGUGGUGUUCCUUCCCCAGGCUCCUGCAGUUGGUCAUGGCACACGCUGCUGAUGAGCUGCUCUGACAUCUCACUAAGCACAAACCUUCUUGUGCCAUCAGGCUAUCCUCCUGAGCUGCAGAAAGACUACCAGCGCUGACCAAAGCCGCCAGCUACAGCGCGAGGUGCUGGAGCAGAGACUGGGCAGAAUUCUACUCAGGUCACUUCGCCUUCUGCAGAGAGAAGACCGUGAUUUCCAGG